Long non-coding RNA from Canis lupus familiaris (dog), 3835 nucleotides. RefSeq lists it as uncharacterized. Lineage: Eukaryota; Metazoa; Chordata; Mammalia; Carnivora; Canidae. The record is from RefSeq and is a predicted model, not a curated record. The transcript is spliced from 3 exons.
GUGGUCUGAACCCCCAGCUGAGUGCUUCUGCGGGGAAAUCCACAUUCCUCCCUCAGCCCAAAUGCAGGUUAAUCUUGAAGCUGCUCAGCCAAAGAGCCAGGGGCUAGAGUCCGGGGUUUCUUGGAUGUUCAGAGGAUGGCCCCAGCCCCUUUCCAGAGGUCAAGAUUCCUGAACACAAUACCAGGCUCCUUGGAUUUGAAUCUCUGAGGGUGAGCCCUAGGAACCUGCAAUUUGCACACACUUUCUAGGUCAUUCUUAUGCACACUAAAAUUUCAUGUCCACUAUUUAGUGUAUCUCACAGAAAUUAGAAGAAAUCUUACUACUGACCAUAGAAUAUACCAGAACUAACACUAAUUAGCAAGAUGAGAGAAGGGGUCUAAGAGAUGAUUGGUUGUGAUAACCAGUCAUGCUUCUUACAAAACAUCUGAUCUACCUAGAGGAAAUGGCCCAAGACCUUCAAAGGCUGGCUUGCUAUCCUCUGGUCACCAAGUAAAAAUCAGUAGUCAUUGGCGGGAAAAAAGUCUUUUCCACAGUGGUGAGGCCACGGAAGAGAAGUAAGGGGAACAACAUCACAGAAGCACUAACCACCUCCAUGGGACCCUCUGAGAAAUGAAAAAGAGGUAGAAAAAUGAAGAAAAAUGAAAAUCCAAGCACCAAGAUGUUAAUGGGUCUGAGGUUUAGGAAACAAAGACUUGAUAUCCAGAAACAGCUUCUCAGUGCAAAUUGUCAUGACAACCUGAAGAGAGGACACACUGCCGCAAGCCGCACAGGGGGACAGAGAGUCCAUGCGUCAUGAUGAAAGGGAGCUGGCUAGUCUGCCUCCACUUUGCCGAGAGCUCAGCAAUAUAAAACCACAGUGCAUUUUGAAGGUCACACUUGGUCUUAUAAAUGGAAAGCGGGUUUAGGGGCUUCGCCGUGCAGAUGCUUCUCGGCCUGCAGCGAGGUCUGGAGGAUGAACAGACUGUACGGCUCAGAGUCUGCGUGGGGCUGUUAUUACCUGCCAGCUCCCCCCAACCCGCCCAGUGGGUUGAUGGUUUAAUUGUGCUUGACCACUGAGGUAAGCUUUGUGCAAAGAGAUAGGGAAGCAGCUCCCCUUUGAUUGUUCCUACCCAGAGCCAUUGGAGAAAGCAGGUUGUUUACCACAGAAGAGCUGUGAAGAGCUCCUCCGAAAGCCUUGUGGGCUAUUUUUGGGUAGCGAAUUUCUGCAUGGCAUGGAACAGAGAGUGCCAGCCCAGAGCAAGGAGAUGGAGCACCAGCCCCAAAUCUUCUCUCUCCAAUUGUUUGGGCAAUCCACUUGACCUCUAGAAUUCUCUGUCACUGUCUGUAAAAGAAGUCAGAAGGCCCGUUAGAUGCUCUCCAGAGGUCCCUGGGAUCCGUAGAUUCCUGAUCCCAGUGAACUGGCUCACACAGUGGAAAGAACAGGGCCUCUGUUGUCAGGACGACCCGGGGCUGAAUCUCGGAUUGCCACCCACACCCCUGUGGGACCUUAAGCAGAUUAGUUACAGAAACUUCUCUCAAAUGCAAAUCUCCUCACAAUCCCAGUUUCCGAGGCUAUGAACCUGAUGGUCACUUUCCCUCGCUGCACCCCCACCCCACCCCAAAUCCAUCAGCAGGUGCCCCUGGCUCUUCCCCAAACAUCCUUCCAGUCUGCCCACUUCCCUGAGUCUCCCCCAUUGCCACUGUGGGCCAGGCAUGUGCAUCCCUGCCUGGAGGUCCACACCAGCCCCCCAGCCUGCCCUCUCUUCUCCAUAUAACAGAGUGAGUCUUGAAAGCGCACAGCUCCCGCUCGUCUGCUUCAGUGGGCAGGAUUGUGUUUACCACUCAGCAGGCACUGUUCUAAUGCUUUACCAACUUUAACUCAUACAAUCCCCACAAGCAACUCUGUGAGGUAAGAUAGCUACACCAGAGACAUAUAGACAAAUGUGGAGAUACCAUACUAUCCCUAUUGUACAGAGGAAAUUGAGGUCAAGAGAGAUUAAGGUUCAUGCCCCAAAUCACAGAGGAGGAAGGGACAAAGCCUGGAUUUGGACCUAGGCAGUCUGACCCCGAUUCCACACACUUAGCCCCAUGCUGAAUCAUUCCAGAUCCUACACCCACUCCUGCAAGAUCCUCACUCAUCUCAGCUCUCCUGCACCCCCUUGUCCACAUGUUCCGCUCACCCAGGCCUUCUGAAAACAGGCUGAGCACAUGCUGACCCCAGGGCCUUUGUGCAUGCUGUCCCUCUGCCCCAGUUCUCCUCCCACCCACUUCCUGGCUGAGUUCUCUCCCUCUCCUUCCUCUGUCUGAACACUACCUCCUCUUAGAGGACCUGGCCACUUGGUGUAGGGAAAGGCCCAGCUGUAAGGAGAGGGUCUUGUCAGUUGCCUGAUGUGAUCUGCUUCCCCCUGGUUAGUCUGUGAGAUCCAUGAGCAUGUGCUCAUGUCUGUUUCCUUCAUCACAAUUCACACUGGCACAGUGGGAUGCCAGCACAUGGUGUGGUGGGAUGGACAGAAGAUGGAUAGGCAUCUAUGCAGCCACAGUAGGAGUUCAGUAUGCAGGCCAGAUGAGAGCUCAAUGACCCACGUCUACCCCAGGGUGGUGGUGCCUGUUAGCCUGGAGAGUGCAUGGGUGCUAGCAAGCCAUGAGGACCACCCGGCAUAAAGCAGCAGUCAGGAAAAGAACAGGAAGCAGACUUGGGCACUCCUGGCCAGGUGGUGACUGGCCUGACCUGGGGAGUGAGGGAGGCUGGAGUGUCCCAGAUGAUGCCCUCGUUUCAAGCUUGUUCACUGGAUAAAAAUGAAGAGAGGACACGCUCCUGCUCCACAAAGGGUAAUGUCUGGGUAAAGGAAGCACGGUACCAGGCUACUGAUAAUAAGUAUCAUUAAAGAUCAAAAAAGGGAACGGGGACAAAAUUAUUGGAACUUGUAAGAGGCUGAGAUUGUUUCUGCUUGGGGUGACCAGAGCAGUGCCAUGCAUGAGCUGGCUGCGUGAGCAGGUACCAAAACAGUGAGUGAAGGACAAAUGAAAAUUGUCUCUCCUUCCUAAAAACAAUUAGAUUUUUCUUAACACAGUUUGACUGCAGGAAUCCCAAAGCUAAAAUAGUGACAUCUGGCUGAGAGUUGCUGGUGAGUUCAGGGGAUCACCCCCAAGGGUGAAGUGAAGAACUGCAGGGGGAGGGGCUCAGGGGUAGAAAGAGCAGACAUGAGUCUGGGAAUGAUGUGGGCCACCCUGCCCGGAGUAUAGAGGCUUGCUUUGGAGCCCACCACCUUCUCCCCAUGAAAGGCAAGGAACAUUCUGGAUAGGAGCUUGUAGGCACUUUGCCAUGAGGGCCAGUAGUUCAGAGAAAGGGAACUUCCUAGACUUUCAUCCUAGCCCACAGGUAAAAUGGGCUAAAACUAGCAGGUCCAUACAUCCCCAGGGGGCCUCAUCAUCACCCAUCUUGUCUGUAUGGAGGACCAUCCAUUCCAUGCUCUGGGCUCAGUGUCAACACACACUGUCUAGUUGAUAAUACUAUCUCUAUGGUGCAAGAGAAACCCUCCAGCCUAGCCUCCGGAAACCCCACGUGUGGCUCUACAGAACCCCCAGUACCUUGGACAUGUAGCUAUCCUCUCUGGGAUGAGUUUUCAUCUUUUAAGCAUGAAGGUUAGAUUAGAAUGGCACUCUUUAAAGAGUUUGUUGUUGUUGUUGUUGUUGUUGUUGUUAUUGCUGUUGUUUAAUGAUGGGAGCCCUUAUUUAAAUUAAAAAAUAAAAGAACAAAUAUUUUAAAAGCAUAAAUCUUAAGUGAACUUUGAUAUCAAGAGCAGAUAACAGUGAAACACCUCUGCUAAAAUAAGGAUAGGCCGGCCUGAGCUCACCU